Vanessa atalanta (red admiral) is the source of this 1279-nucleotide long non-coding RNA. RefSeq lists it as uncharacterized. The transcript is spliced from 5 exons. The record is from RefSeq and is a predicted model, not a curated record. Lineage: Eukaryota; Metazoa; Arthropoda; Insecta; Lepidoptera; Nymphalidae.
AGCUAACAAUUUUUAGCUGAAUCCGGGAAUCCAGUCAUUCUUGUGCUUGUUUCGAUACUAUUAACAUGUUUAUUUGGAUUUAUUAUAUUUUUUAAUGUUAGUUUAGAAAGUAAUAAAUCUUAAUUUUUCACCUCUUUUAUUUAGAACGUGUAUAACUGCAAAAACGUCUAAAGCGGUUCUUUAAGAAAUCGCUUACCCUCCCCCUCCUUCAGUCAGGUAAGGAGGGGGAGGGGUGUUAAGCUGCGCAGUUCUGCGUAGCAGUACCAGCAGAUGGCAGAACAAUGAAUGCUCCUGACGAUUUCAUAAGGUUUAACCUACCCCUCCUUCAGUCUGGUAAGGACUUCUUCUUACCUGACUGAAGCAGUUGGCAGCACAAUGAAUGCUCCUGACGAUUUUAAAAGGUUUACCUCUGCCCCUCGUGUUAUUAUCAUCUGACUUAAAGGGGUUGUGUCUAAAUCUCAGCAGCUGCAGAACGCGACUAAGAUGUCGUAAAAAGUACCCAACAAUAAGUACUUGAAACUUUUUUAAAGGUAUUUGGUGCCGGAUUCUUCAGCACCGGUCAGUUCUGCGACUUCUGCGAGCAUUAGAAGUUUUCACUUGAAUCUUCAGAGAAACCAGUAUAAUACGCGCCAUCUAAAGAGACUGGUCUGAAGUUAGCCUCUCUACUAUAUAACCUUUAAAAUAUAAUAAUCAACUAAUUUCUGACCGGCCGACUUAGAUCGCCCGUAUUGUAAUUAAGAUAAAUUUAAUGUUGCUUUGUUAGAUAUGUUCAUGUAUCUAACAAAACAACCGGUUAUUACUACUGUAAGUUACUAUUAUAUAUAGUUCAGGGCGGGGACGUAUUCACUUGACGAUUCCCAGACCUUGACUUUAGUAUUAUACGUACAAGUUAUCAAGAAAUGUUUGAAAUCGACACAUUUAAGCCACUAAACAUCAAACAUAAAUAUUGUAAUUAAGGUUAACUUAAUGUUAGUUGGCCCCAAGCUAUUACUGCAUGUUACUAAUGUAUGCGGUAUUACUAAGGAUUUCCCUGCGCGUAGUAAUGUAAGCAAUAGCGAAGGUAUGCCCUCGAUUUCUUCGCUACUAUUGAAUGCAACGUAUGUUGCAAUUAAACCAUUAAAUAUUGUAAGGUUCAUUUAAUGUUGGUUUGUUAAAUAUAGCCAAAUAUUUAACAAAACAACCACCAUUUACUCUCACCGUAAGUUACUAACUAACCUAGUAUUGUAAUCGGUAGGUAUGGUAUGCCCUUCGGUAGGUAAUUUAAGGACAAAAAAAAAUA